Molecule: ribosomal RNA, 441 nt
Filed under: uncultured bacterium
Lineage: Bacteria
Description: SSU rRNA
Rfam family: Bacterial small subunit ribosomal RNA
Source: RNAcentral
AGAACGAACGCUGGCGGCAGGCCUAACACAUGCAAGUCGAACGCGACUUCGGUCGAGUGGCGCACGGGUGAGUAACGCGUGGGAACCUGUCCUAUGGUACGGAAUAACAUCGGGAAACUGGUGCUAAUACCGUAUAAGCCCCGAGGGGGAAAGAUUUAUCGCCAUAGGAGGGGCCCGCGUAGGAUUAGCUAGUUGGUGAGGUAAAGGCUCACCAAGGCGACGAUCCUUAGCUGGUCUGAGAGGAUGAUCAGCCACACUGGGACUGAGACACGGCCCAGACUCCUACGGGAGGCAGCAGUGGGGAAUAUUGGACAAUGGGGGAAACCCUGAUCCAGCCAUGCCGCGUGAGUGAUGAAGGCCUUCGGGUUGUAAAGCUCUUUCGCACGUGACGAUGAUGACGGUAACGUGAGAAGAGCCCGGCUACUUCGUGCCAGCAGCCGC